This 376-nucleotide ribosomal RNA is filed under the name uncultured bacterium. Its description in RNAcentral is "bacterial SSU rRNA". It matches the Rfam family "Bacterial small subunit ribosomal RNA", at positions 524 to 898 of the family's 1533-position model. The record is from RNAcentral.
GACAGAGGAGGCAAGCGUUGUUCGGAAUCAUUGGGCUUAAAGGGCGUGCAGGCGGCGGCGCAAGUGUCGAGUGAAAUCCCAUCGCUCAACGAUGGAACGGCUCGGCAAACUGCGUCGCUUGAGGUCGGUAGAGGUGCUCGGAACUCUAGGUGGAGCGGUGAAAUGCGUAGAUAUCUAGAGGAACGCCUGAGGCGAAAGCGGGGCACUGGGCCGAUUCUGACGCUGAGACGCGAAAGCGUGGGGAGCAAACAGGAUUAGAUACCCUGGUAGUCCACGCCGUAAACGAUGCACACUAGGUGACGGGGCCUCUCACGGCGCCGCCGCCGAAGCAAAAGUGAUUAGUGUGCCGCCUGGGGAGUACGGCCGCAAGGCUAAA